This 1244-nucleotide ribosomal RNA is filed under the name metagenome. RNAcentral's name for it is "bacterial LSU rRNA". It matches the Rfam family "Bacterial large subunit ribosomal RNA", at positions 1564 to 2817 of the family's 2925-position model. The record is from RNAcentral.
UGAAUACGAGAUGCUACGGCGUCGAAGCAGUGUAUGUCAGACUUCCAAGAAAAGCUCGCAAUGUCAUAAAUAAAGAAUGCCUGUACCAUAACCGACACAGGUGGGUAGGUAGAGUAUACUAAGGGGCGCGAGAUAACUCUCUCUAAGGAACUCGGCAAAAUAACUCCGUAACUUCGGGAGAAGGAGUGCCUUCUUUAAGAAGGUUGCAAUAACAAGAUCCAAGCAACUGUUUAUCAAAAACACAGGUCUCCGCUAAGUCGUAAGACGAUGUAUGGGGGCUGACGCCUGCCCAGUGCCAGAAGGUUAAAGAAGUUGGUUAGCUUUUGCGAAGCUGAUGACUGAAGCCCUGGUGAACGGCGGCCGUAACAAUAACGGUCCUAAGGUAGCGAAAUUCCUUGUCGGGUAAGUUCCGACCCGCACGAAAGGCGUAAUGGUUUGGAUACUGUCUCGGAGAGGGACUCGGUGAAAUAGACUUGUCUGUGAAGAUGCGGACUACCUGCACCAGGACAGAAAGACCCUAUGAAGCUUUACUGUAACUUGAAAUUGAAAUUGGACUUUAUUUGCGCAGUAUAGGUGGAAGGCGUUGAAAGUAAUCUUGCGGGAUUAGUGGAGCCAUCAGUGAGAUACCACUCCUAUAAUGUUAGAUUUCUAACUUUGGAUCAUGAUCUGGUCAAAGAACAGUUUCAGGCGGGCAGUUUGACUGGGGCGGUCGCCUCCCAAAUGGUAACGGAGGCGUACAAAGGUUUCCUCUGAACGGGUAGAAAUCGUAUCUAGAGUGUAAAGGCAUAAGGAAGCUUGACUGUGAGACCUACAAGUCGAGCAGGGACGAAAGUCGGUCUUAGUGAUCUGACGGUGCUGAGUGGAAAGGCCGUCACUCAACGGAUAAAAGUUACUCUAGGAUAACAGGCUGAUCUCCCCCAAGAGUUCACAUCGACGGGGAGGUUUGGCACCUCGAUGUCGGCUCAUCGCAUCCUGGGGCGGUAGUACGUCCCAAGGGUUGGGCUGUUCGCCCAUGAAAGCGGUACGCGAGCUGGGUUCAGAACGUCGUGAGACAGUUCGGUCCAUAUCCGGUGUAGGCGUUAGAAUAUUGAGAGGAGCCUUCUUUAGUACGAGAGGACCGAGAAGGACAUACCUCUGGUGUACCAGUUAUCGUGCCAACGGUAAACGCUGGGUAGCUAUGUAUGGAGAGGAUAACCGCUGAAAGCAUCUAAGUGGGAAGCCCACCUCAAGAUGAGUAUUCUCAC